GAAAGCUUGCUUUCUUGCUGACGAGUGGCGGACGGGUGAGUAAUGCUUGGGAAUCUGGCUUAUGGAGGGGGAUAACGACGGGAAACUGUCGCUAAUACCGCGUAUUAUCGGAAGAUGAAAGUGCGGGACUGAGAGGCCGCAUGCCAUAGGAUGAGCCCAAGUGGGAUUAGGUAGUUGGUGGGGUAAAGGCCUACCAAGCCAGCGAUCUCUAGCUGGUCUGAGAGGAUGACCAGCCACACUGGAACUGAGACACGGUCCAGACUCCUACGGGAGGCAGCAGUGGGGAAUAUUGCGCAAUGGGGGGAACCCUGACGCAGCCAUGCCGCGUGAAUGAAGAAGGCCUUCGGGUUGUAAAGUUCUUUCGGUAUUGAGGAAGGUUGAUGUGUUAAUAGCACAUCAAAUUGACGUUAAAUACAGAAGAAGCACCGGCUAACUCCGUGCCAGCAGCCGCGGUAAUACGGAGGGUGCGAGCGUUAAUCGGAAUAACUGGGCGUAAAGGGCACGCAGGCGGUUAUUUAAGUGAGGUGUGAAAGCCCCGGGCUUAACCUGGGAAUUGCAUUUCAGACUGGGUAACUAGAGUACUUUAGGGAGGGGUAGAAUUCCACGUGUAGCGGUGAAAUGCGUAGAGAUGUGGAGGAAUACCGAAGGCGAAGGCAGCCCCUUGGGAAUGUACUGACGCUCAUGUGCGAAAGCGUGGGGAGCAAACAGGAUUAGA
This 715-nucleotide ribosomal RNA is filed under the name uncultured Haemophilus sp. Its description in RNAcentral is "bacterial SSU rRNA". It matches the Rfam family "Bacterial small subunit ribosomal RNA", at positions 74 to 782 of the family's 1533-position model. Lineage: Bacteria; Pseudomonadati; Pseudomonadota; Gammaproteobacteria; Pasteurellales; Pasteurellaceae. The record is from RNAcentral.